AGGCUUUGGGGAGCUCUCUAAACAGAGCCAUACCAUUAAAUAUAACUAUUGUAUGCAGAUCUUUUUGACUGAACUGGUUCUCUUUCUACAGAUUGAUGGUGUGUAGUCGUGUUGCAGUCAGACUUAAAGGUCACUUCCUGAUGGGGAAGUGAAUAAUAUGAAAUAUUUCAUCUGCUUUACAAUAGACUUGCCUUUGCUUCACAGACUUGGCCUCCCUUUCGAUUUGCGUGCUCAGUAUGGCGUUGGUAUAAUACUUUCUUAUAAAGUGCGGUGAGACAGGAAGUGUCCGGUACCAUGUAGGAGCACCCACAGUCCCUAACCUGCUCGUUUUAAACAUCAGCCUGCUCUCCCGCUGAAACAACUCUGUGGUUCUUUGAAGUAAAAUCUAAUUACUGCUGCCACACUCCUCGAGAACAUUGCACGUGUGUGUCUACUCUUACGCCCCUGAGCUAAUGUGUGCGCCGGAGUGUGUGUGCGAGUGUACACCUAUCAAAACUCCCUCUGGUGAACAUGACAGAAGAGAUGUGGAGAGAGAACAAGCUGCUCAGCUCAGCUUUCAUCUUCUUUCC
Molecule: non-coding RNA, 569 nt
Organism: Xyrichtys novacula (pearly razorfish)
Lineage: Eukaryota; Metazoa; Chordata; Actinopteri; Labriformes; Labridae
Source: the annotation of a GenBank genome assembly